AUAGCUCAGUUGGUAGAGCAAGCGACUCUUAAUCGCUGGGUCGGAGGUUCGACCCCUCCUGCGGGCA
Molecule: transfer RNA, 67 nt
Filed under: Candidatus Omnitrophica bacterium CG12_big_fil_rev_8_21_14_0_65_45_16
Lineage: Bacteria; Pseudomonadati; Candidatus Omnitrophota
Description: tRNA-Lys
Rfam family: tRNA
About the family: Transfer RNA (tRNA) molecules are approximately 80 nucleotides in length. Their secondary structure includes four short double-helical elements and three loops (D, anti-codon, and T loops). Further hydrogen bonds mediate the characteristic L-shaped molecular structure. tRNAs have two regions of fundamental functional importance: the anti-codon, which is responsible for specific mRNA codon recognition, and the 3' end, to which the tRNAs corresponding amino acid is attached (by aminoacyl-tRNA synthetases). tRNAs cope with the degeneracy of the genetic code in two manners: having more than one tRNA (with a specific anti-codon) for a particular amino acid; and 'wobble' base-pairing, i.e. permitting non-standard base-pairing at the 3rd anti-codon position.
Source: RNAcentral